UGGGGAAUUUUGCGCAAUGGGGGAAACCCUGACGCAGCAACGCCGCGUGAGUGAUGAAGGCCUUCGGGUCGUAAAGCUCUGUCAGAGGGGAAGAAAUGAGUUGUGCUAAUACCACAAUUUCUUGACGGUACCCUCAAAGGAAGCACCGGCUAACUCCGUGCCAGCAGCCGCGGUAAUACGGAGGGUGCAAGCGUUGUUCGGAUUUAUUGGGCGUAAAGCGCGUGUAGGCGGUUUCUUAAGUCUGAUGUGAAAGCCCUGGGCUCAACCCAGGAAGUGCAUUGGAUACUGGGAGACUUGAAUACGGGAGAGGGUAGUGGAAUUCCUAGUGUAGGAGUGAAAUCCGUAGAUAUUAGGAGGAACACCGGUGGCGAAGGCGGCUACCUGGACCGAUAUUGACGCUGAGACGCGAAAGCGUGGGGAGCAAACA
This 427-nucleotide ribosomal RNA is filed under the name uncultured Geobacter sp. RNAcentral's name for it is "bacterial SSU rRNA". It matches the Rfam family "Bacterial small subunit ribosomal RNA", at positions 355 to 774 of the family's 1533-position model. The record is from RNAcentral. Lineage: Bacteria; Pseudomonadati; Thermodesulfobacteriota; Desulfuromonadia; Geobacterales; Geobacteraceae.